Molecule: small RNA, 227 nt
Filed under: Mycobacterium arosiense
Lineage: Bacteria; Bacillati; Actinomycetota; Actinomycetes; Mycobacteriales; Mycobacteriaceae
Description: Magnesium sequence
Rfam family: M-box riboswitch aptamer (ykoK leader)
About the family: M-box riboswitch, also know as ykoK leader is described as a metaloregulatory RNA that sense divalent metals and function as a genetic control element of genes related to divalent metal transport in bacteria.
Source: RNAcentral
CUGGCACCUCGGUAGGUGAGGCGUCUGCAUGGAUACAGGCCACUGACCCCGAACGUCGAGAGACGCCCCGGGUCAGGACAGCUCUUCCCGGACUAAGGGUUGAGCCCAAGUGGCUUCCGGACGAGGAGCGAUCGCAAGCGCGGCGCAGCCGGGCGUGGCGGGUCGCGACCAUCGGUUAAGGCCGGAUACGCCGUGCAGUGCCGAAGCUCCGACGAGAGGGGUGCGGC